AGUUAACGUUGGCGGCGUGCCUAACACAUGCAAGUCGAACGCGUCCUAAGGGCAACUUUAGGAUGAGUGGCGAACGGGUGAGUAUCACGUGGGUAAUCUUCCUUUAAGUGGGGAAUAAGCUCUCGAAAGGGAGUCUAAUACCGCAUGACAUUCCGGGACACAAGUCCCGUAAUCAAAGCCGCAAGGCGCUUGAAGAUGAGCCUGCGUCCUAUUAGCUAGUUGGUGGGGUAACGGCCUACCAAGGCUCAGAUGGGUAGCCGGCCUGAGAGGGUGAACGGCCACACUGGGACUGAGACACGGCCCAGACUCCUACGGGAGGCAGCAGUGAGGAAUUUUGCGCAAUGGGGGAAACCCUGACGCAGCGACGCCGCGUGGAGGAUGAAGGCCUUCGGUCGGUAAACUCCUGUCAGAGGUGAAGAAUGCCGCAAGGGUUGACGGUAACCUCAGAGGAAGCCCGGCUAACUACGUG
This 469-nucleotide ribosomal RNA is filed under the name uncultured bacterium. RNAcentral describes it as "bacterial SSU rRNA". It matches the Rfam family "Bacterial small subunit ribosomal RNA", at positions 29 to 507 of the family's 1533-position model. The record is from RNAcentral.